CAUGCAAGUCGAGCGGAGUGAUGGUGCUUGCACCAUCACUUAGCGGCGAACGGGUGAGUAAUGCCUAGGAAUCUGCCCAUUAGCGGGGGACAACGUGUGGAAACGCACGCUAAUACCGCAUACGCCCUACGGGGGAAAGCAGGGGACUCUUUGAGCCUUGCACUAAUGGAUGAGCCUAGGUCAGAUUAGCUAGUUGGUGGGGUAAAGGCCUACCAAGGCGACGAUCUGUAGCGGGUCUGAGAGGAUGAUCCGCCACACUGGAACUGAGACACGGUCCAGACUCCUACGGGAGGCAGCAGUGGGGAAUAUUGGACAAUGGGCGCAAGCCUGAUCCAGCCAUGCCGCGUGUGUGAAGAAGGCCUUUUGGUUGUAAAGCACUUUAAGCGAGGAGGAGGCUUACCUGGUUAAUACCUGGGAUAAGUGGACGUUACUCGCAGAAUAAGCACCGGCUAACUCUGUGCCAGCAGCCGCGGUAAUACAGAGGGUGCGAGCGUUAAUCGGAAUUACUGGGCGUAAAGCGCGCGUAGGCGGUUUGUUAAGUCGGAUGUGAAAUCCCCGGGCUCAACCUGGGAAUUGCAUUCGAUACUGGCAAGCUAGAGUAUGGGAGAGGAAGGUAGAAUUCCAGGUGUAGCGGUGAAAUGCGUAGAGAUCUGGAGGAAUACCGAUGGCGAAGGCAGCCUUCUGGCCUAAUACUGACGCUGAGGUGCGAAAGCAUGGGGAGCAAACAGGAUUAGAUACCCUGGUAGUCCAUGCCGUAAACGAUGUCACUAGCCGUUGGGGAUUUGAUCCUUUAGUGGCGCAGCUAACGCGAUAGUGACGCUGGAGUACGGUCGCAGACUAACUCAAUGAUGACGGGGCCGCCAGCGUGGAGCAUGUGUAUCGAUGCACGCGAGACUACUGUCUGACUAUGAGAAUCU
This 917-nucleotide ribosomal RNA is filed under the name uncultured bacterium. RNAcentral's name for it is "bacterial SSU rRNA". It matches the Rfam family "Bacterial small subunit ribosomal RNA", at positions 54 to 990 of the family's 1533-position model. The record is from RNAcentral.